Molecule: ribosomal RNA, 490 nt
Filed under: uncultured bacterium
Lineage: Bacteria
Description: partial 16S ribosomal RNA
Rfam family: Bacterial small subunit ribosomal RNA
Source: RNAcentral
GAUGAACGCUAGCUACAGGCUUAACACAUGCAAGUCGCGGGGCAGCAUGGGGGUUGCUUGCAAUCCCCGAUGGCGACCGGCGCACGGGUGAGUAACGCGUAUCCAACCUGCCCUUCACCACGGGAUAACCCGGCGAAAGUCGGACUAAUACCGUAUGUUGUCCAUUGACGGCAUCCGAUUUGGACGAAAGGUUUGGCGGUGAAGGAUGGGGAUGCGUCCGAUUAGCUGGACGGCGGGGUGACGGCCCACCGUGGCGACGAUCGGUAGGGGUUCUGAGAGGAAGGUCCCCCACACUGGAACUGAGACACGGUCCAGACUCCUACGGGAGGCAGCAGUGAGGAAUAUUGGUCAAUGGGCGUAAGCCUGAACCAGCCAAGUAGCGUGCAGGAUGACGGCCCCAUGGGUUGUAAACUGCUUUUAUGCGGGGAUAAAGUGGCCCACGUGUGGGUUUUUGCAGGUACCGCAUGAAUAAGGACCGGCUAAUUCCGUG